This 73-nucleotide transfer RNA is filed under the name Neotoma lepida (desert woodrat). It matches the Rfam family "tRNA". From Rfam's summary of the family: Transfer RNA (tRNA) molecules are approximately 80 nucleotides in length. Their secondary structure includes four short double-helical elements and three loops (D, anti-codon, and T loops). The record is from Rfam by way of RNAcentral. Lineage: Eukaryota; Metazoa; Chordata; Mammalia; Rodentia; Cricetidae.
GGAGAGAUGGCUCAGCAGUUCAGAGCACUGGCUGUUCUUCCAGAGGACCUGGGUUCAAUUCCCAGCACCCUCA